CUUGCGAGUUGCGUUGCGACUUGCUUGGUUCGCGUGUUUGAGGAAACCGCGUGGACUACAGAUCAUAAGAGUUGAAGUUGACCUUGUAAUUUCCUUGCAAGCCUUUCGAUGUUCGAGGAUCUGAAGGUCCAGAUAUUUCGCUUCUGUCUCUCUUAAUUUGGAGACAGCUUCCGCAGAUUUGCCUGAUUUACACAGUCUUAUCUCACCGGAUUGAAGCCCAAGGUUAGAAUUUUCUCGCAUUUGCCUUAUUGUUCUGGGGUUUUUAUCUUGGGUUGGUGAGAUCAGAUGGCAGAGGCAAGCGCGAACUCACGAUAUGUGAAGUUGACAAAAGAGCAAACGGCUGUAGAGGACAUUAAGCCUGGCGAACUCAAUCAGCCCAUCGAAGUUCCUCAGUUGGCUGUUCGCAAGUGCAAUGAAUGUGGGCAGCCUUUGCCCGAAAACUUUGAGCCUCCUGCAGAUGAACCUUGGACGACUGGGAUUUUUGGCUGUACUGAAGAUACUGAAAGUUGCUGGGCAGGACUAUUUUGUCCUUGUGUUCUAUUUGGAAGAAAUGUUGAAAGCUUGAGAGAUGAUACCCCUUGGACUAGACCAUGCAUUUGUCAUGCCAUUUGUGUUGAAGGUGGAAUGGCACUGGCAGCAGCAACAGCAAUCUUCCAUGGUGUUGACCCAAGGACAUCAUUUCUAAUUUGCGAGGGUUUACUUUUUGCUUGGUGGAUGUGUGGCAUAUACACUGGUCUUGUUCGGCAAUCACUGCAGAGGAAAUAUCACCUGAAGAACUCACCGUGUGAUCCAUGCUUGGUGCACUGUUGCAUGCACUGGUGUGCUUUGUGCCAGGAACACAGGGAGAUGAAGGGCCGCCUUUCAGAUAACUUUGUCAUGCCAAUGGCCAUUGUCAAUCCUCCCCCUGUUCAAGAGAUGAGCUCUGCUACCGAGAACCGGGAU
This 942-nucleotide unclassified non-coding RNA is filed under the name Hevea brasiliensis (rubber tree). Lineage: Eukaryota; Viridiplantae; Streptophyta; Magnoliopsida; Malpighiales; Euphorbiaceae. The record is from RNAcentral.